Molecule: non-coding RNA, 174 nt
Filed under: Staphylococcus sp. 8AQ
Lineage: Bacteria; Bacillati; Bacillota; Bacilli; Caryophanales; Staphylococcaceae
Description: Lysine
Rfam family: Lysine riboswitch aptamer
About the family: Riboswitches are metabolite binding domains within certain messenger RNAs that serve as precision sensors for their corresponding targets. Allosteric rearrangement of mRNA structure is mediated by ligand binding, and this results in modulation of gene expression.
Source: RNAcentral
AGUUGAGUUAGAGGUUGCAAUAUUAAAUAGUAGCUUGUCAGAAGUUGUAUGGAACGAAUGUUGAACAAGUCAAAGGUAAUAUUGCCGAAACAAACGUUAACCAUAAUAGACGUUUGUUGGGACAGUUUUCGAAAGAAACUGUACUGUCACUUAAUGUGAUGUGCUACCUAAUAU